UGGGGAAUUUUGGACAAUGGGCGAAAGCCUGAUCCAGCAAUGCCGCGUGCAGGAUGAAGGCCUUCGGGUUGUAAACUGCUUUUGUACGGAACGAAAAGCUUCGGGUUAAUACCCUGGAGUCAUGACGGUACCGUAAGAAUAAGCACCGGCUAACUACGUGCCAGCAGCCGCGGUAAUACGUAGGGUGCAAGCGUUAAUCGGAAUUACUGGGCGUAAAGCGUGCGCAGGCGGUCUUGUAAGACAGAGGUGAAAUCCCCGGGCUCAACCUGGGAACUGCCUUUGUGACUGCAAGGCUGGAGUGCGGCAGAGGGGGAUGGAAUUCCGCGUGUAGCAGUGAAAUGCGUAGAUAUGCGGAGGAACACCGAUGGCGAAGGCAAUCCCCUGGGCCUGCACUGACGCUCAUGCACGAAAGCGUGGGGAGCAAACAGG
RNAcentral lists this ribosomal RNA (429 nucleotides) under bacterium. RNAcentral describes it as "partial 16S ribosomal RNA". It matches the Rfam family "Bacterial small subunit ribosomal RNA", at positions 355 to 776 of the family's 1533-position model. The record is from RNAcentral.